RNA transcript from Centropristis striata (black sea bass), 4559 nucleotides. It is a transcript of the gene named caspase-3-like, with no coding region annotated. The transcript is spliced from 8 exons. The record is from RefSeq and is a predicted model, not a curated record. Lineage: Eukaryota; Metazoa; Chordata; Actinopteri; Perciformes; Serranidae.
ACCAUACUAACCUUCUUUCUCUAACUGAACUGCUCGCACAUGGCUCCUGAAACUGGCACAUAUAAAUGCCACAGAGUGGAUUAAUACAGAAGUGAACCGUGUGUGGUUACUGGAAAUGCUGCGGAGACCCGAGCUUUGUUUACUGGUGGACCAACGCCUUGAAAGCUAUUUCUGACUUCCGAGUUUUGAAAACGAAAGCAACAGUUCUGCUACUGUUAUUAGACAUUACUGGGACUUUCCAGGAACAGUGCACCGAAAGUAAAGACUUCCUGACAAUUCAACAUGUCAGCCAAAGACACAGUGAGACGUAAUAAGACAACCCUUCAGACCAUUCUGUGUGGAGACCACAUUUUCAUUCUCAACCAAGUUCUUGAGAAAAAGCUGAUAACUGAUCGUGAGUACACCAAACUCAAAAGCACCCAACCGGAUGUGGAGACCAAAAUUGUUGAGCUUGUGGAUAGGAUCAUGAACAAAGGAGAGGAGCGCUGCAGAGACUUCCUGGACCUCCUGCAAACUGACGACAUUAAAGAGACUUACCCUGAGCUGGAGAACAUACAGCUGAAUGCCCCCUGCCUUCUCCCUGCACCUGUCCAGGCUUAUGCCAUAGACGACAGUGAUGUUCUGCAACAAGAGAGCAAGAGGCAAAAGGAGGACAAGCCGUAUGAGUUGAAGAGCCAGCCUACCGGCCUCUGUGUGAUCAUAAACAACGAGAAUUUUAUGCAUCAAAAACCAAGAGCUGGAACCAACAAAGAUGCUGAAAGUUUGGCCGAGGUGUUCAGCUGGCUGAGGUUCAGAGUGCUGAUGUUUAAAGACCAAACCAAGGACCAGAUGGACCGCACAAUGAAAUGCUUCGCUUCUCAGUGCGACCGCUCUCAGCUGCAGGAACUCAAGGUUCAGGAGUGGUCUGGCAACGAAUUCAGUGCUCUACAAAAUGAUCCUAUGCACGGUGAUGCAUUCAUCUGCUGUAUUCUGAGUCACGGGGAGAAGGGUGUAGUCUUCGGGACUGAUGGCGGGCCCCUCUCCAUCAAACAAAUAACUAGAACUUUCAGGGCUCAAUCAGCUCUCAUCGGCAAGCCCAAAGUGUUCCUGAUCCAGGCCUGCCAGGGAGGGAACAUACAGCGUGGAGUGUUGUUAGAAGAAGAUCUGCAGGCUGAUGAUUCUCACUCCCUGUACAUCCCUGAGGAUGCUGAUGUUCUGGUUGCCAUCUCCACUGUUGAAGACUAUUUAUCAUAUAGAGUCCCAAAAGAUGGGUCCUGGUUCAUCCAGUCCUUGUGUCUGCAGUUAAAGGAGGGCUGUCCAAAGAGUGAAAACAUGACCACCAUCCUCCAGCGUGUGAACGAUGAAGUAGGCAAGAAAGAGGGACGCCCUGGUUGGCCUGGUGCAGUAAAGCAGAUGCCUGAAGUCAGGUUCACCCUGAGGAAGAGACUUGUGUUGUCUCCACAUCGUAACUGAAGCUUAAUCACCAAAAAUCAUAAGAGGAGCAGAUCAAACAUUAGUUCAGGACACGGCACAGACAGUCCUAUAUCGGAGUAAGCUACAAAAUAAUAAUUAACUAGGGACAGCCUGUCAGAUACACACAAAUACCUUUUCAGAGAGCAUUCUCUUGAAAUCUCAAACCGACAAAUUCACAUCAAGAUGGGGAACAUGCAGUGUCCUGCUGAGGACGUAGCCAUCCUGGCUUCGGUCGCUCGAGACAUCUGUCCAUUCCCAGACUACCGCCCAAGUCCUCUUUUUGUCAACAUGCUGUCCAUCAACUCUUCACUUCACCUGAGGAACCACUACAGGGAGGUGCAGUCCUCCCUGACCCCCAAGCAGCUGGACGACUUCACCCAGGGCCUGAGGACCACUUUUGGCCGGCAGGGGAAGGUCACCCUUGGUGGGGUGGGGGUAGUGGCCCUGUCCCUGGCUGUGCUGUUUGACACUCUGGCCAGACAGGUCAGGGGAGAGUGGGUGUCGGACUCUGGGCCCAUUCCAGGUUUAUUUCUCAAAGAUCCGAGAGGGUUCUACCCACCACAUGCCAAAGCGAUCAGCGAGUACCUGAGGCUGGUACCCUACAUUGCAAACAACCCGUCAAGGAUGAUAGAGGAGUCAAAGAGGUACUACAAGGAGGUCAAGAUUGAAACUGUGGACAAGAACCAGAGCCCGACCUGUGAUGACAUCUACGUGGUCAACAGCAAAUUACAGAAAUUAUUCGAACACCGUUUGCACAUUUACCUCCUCCAAGUUACCAACUCCACCUUUGUAAAAGAGAUAGUUAAGUCUGUUAAGAAGCUGAACAGAAUGAAAGGAAACCCAGUCCAAACUGGAUAUGAAAGUGGUCCUGAAAUCAGUACUAUCUUCAAUCUGAACUGUGAUCCAGAUGCAGCUAACGCAGAGUUUUUGUCUGAAGUGAACAAAUCAAACAAGACGAAAAAAGCUUUUAAACGAUGUCGACCUCAGGACCCAACGGAGACGUGGCUGCCUUUCAUUGCCAGGAUAGCCUGGCUAGACGUCGUCCAGGGCUCCCUUUUUCUUUUUGGCAGUAUUCACCACUCACUGAAAGUUAAAAGGGAAGAUUUUGACCUGAAGGACAAUGCGCUCAGAAAGUGGGCAGAGUAGUUCUUUGGUCAACUGUCCAUAUCAUAGACUGUAUAUAAAUAAUGGACGUAGUGAUAGUGACGUCACCCGUUGGUUUGUGGCCCGUUGGAAGCAUCAAGUUCAGCGUUACACUCGUCGCCAUCUUGUUUCCGAUAUGGGGAGCAGACCAUAUUUGGACUGUGGAGGAGAGGGAUCUGAUCACUGACUACAGCCUCUCUACACCUCAACCUGACUGAGAGAAGCUGCUGCUGGGAUGUUCAUUUUGGCUAGCAAAAAUCAAAAACCAAAUGUAAGUUACUGACCUCAGAAAACUGAGCAGCGACUCCUUGGAGUGUCUGUUAGUCCAACGAAAUGCUGAACAAGACGGUCAUUAAGUGAAAAUACAGUGAACAGGGUUCGUACGGGUGUUUGAAAUCCUUGAAAAUGCUUGAAUUUAAAUGUUGUAUUUUCAAGGUUUAAAAAGUGCUUGGAUUUUGGAUAAAGUGCUUGUAAAUGCUUGAAAUUCUUACUGUAUUUCUCUUUCAAUCUGACUAUAUCCAUCUAUAGACUAUAGUUAAUCACAUGUUCAAUGUAAAAAUAAUGAGUAGCCUAUCUGAAAUGAAGACCGUUCCUCCUAAAAGUGUAACACCAUCACAUUUGGUAUGGUUAAGUGAAAUCUCCCCUUUUUAGUAUGUAAGUACUCAUCUAAAACAUGCAAUUUACAACCGUUGUAAUAUACUGGAAAAGCUUGAAAAUGGACCUUGAAAUUCCUUGAAAAAUGCUUGAAUUUACCACUGAAAAAGUGUAUGAACCCUGAGUGAAAGGGUCAAAGUUAUGAGACCAAACUGGUAAAUGUCCUUUUUCAUAUCUUGCCGUGGAUACACAUUGUUCUGCUUCUCUCUUGAUGACGGCUCGCCUUGUUAGUGACCUGUCAAUCAAAGGUAGCCACGCCCCAAAUCAUAAGAUUCUUAAUAUUUUGCUUUCUUCUAAAUGGGGCCAUUAUCUGAACUAUUAAAAUCAAAUUGUCUUGAAGAAUAUUUUUUACUAGUUUGAUUGAGACUAUAGCAUUGUCAUAAAAAACAUUUUCUGAGGUAAUACAUCAAGUGAGAAGUUUUAUCAUUUUGAAUGGAAAUUAAUGGACAGAAAUGUUUGCUUGGAAAAUGCUGGUGUCUUAGUAGGAUGCAGCUUAAGGCACUUCCUGGUUUGACUCCCUUCUCCCCUGCUCAAACCUGGAGGUUGUUGCCUGGUUCAUAUGCUGACGAAAAAAAUCUAUUAUAAUAAAAGUUUAAAUUCAGUACUGUGUAAUAAUUGUCGUGCUAUUAAAUAUAUAUAUAUAAAAACAACGGGAAGGGAAUUUGUGACAUAGGUAACAAAACUAAAAGAGGUAUGAAGCAAAACACUCAUUCAUUCACACACAUGGAACCUGUCUAGUAGUGGUUAGUUAGCUGAUGUGUUGUUCACUUAAAGAAAACACAGAAUCCAAAGCAUAUUCAGCCACAAAAAUAACUUUAAUGCAAAAGUGAUUUCAAUGCCAGUAGCCAUGAGGCUCUGAAUGAACAGGCUGUGAGAGUAUAUUUCAAAGGUUGACUCCAACAAACGUCCCUAAGCAAUAAAUGAUAAACACUUUUUUUUCAAAGUUAAAUCACUGAUCUGGCACUGUUCUCUUAAGAACCUGUGUAUUUCCUCCACUUGACUCUGACUCUAAUUAAAAUAUUUGUUUAACAUUUAAAUCGACUGGCAUGUCCUGUUAUUCCCUCCUCGAUUAUUUUUUGUUUCUCCAUUGAUUUAUAAUAUAUAUAAUAAUAUACUAUGUCCAUGUUUUUAUUUUUGUAGUCUUAUGUUGACAUUGACCAAUAAUGCCAUCUAGUGGCGAAAUGUGAUAACAGAAUUUGAUGCAUUUUAGUGGUUUUGUGAAGCAGUGACAACAUUAAUUUGUACGCAGUGAAACAAAUGUUUUUAUUCCAAUGACCACAUAUUAAAGUCAUUCAAAUAAAAUUACAAAA